ACAGCAGUAGCCGCGGGAAUACGAAGGGGGCUAGCGUUGCUCGGAAUUACUGGGCGUAAAGGGAGCGUAGGCGGAUGUUUAAGUCAGAGGUGAAAGCCCAGGGCUCAACCUUGGAACAGCCUUUGAUACUGGACAUCUUGAGUGUGGGAGAGGUAAGCGGAACUCCGAGUGUAGAGGUGAAAUUCGUAGAUAUUCGGAAGAACACCAGUGGCGAAGGCGGCUUACUGGCCCAUUACUGACGCUGAGGCUCGAAAGCGUGGGGAGCAAACAGGAUUAGAUACCCCAGUAGUCCCUGUCUCUUAUAC
Molecule: ribosomal RNA, 305 nt
Filed under: uncultured bacterium
Lineage: Bacteria
Description: partial 16S ribosomal RNA
Rfam family: Bacterial small subunit ribosomal RNA
Source: RNAcentral